RNAcentral lists this ribosomal RNA (716 nucleotides) under Candidatus Pelagibacter sp. AAA795-O19. Its description in RNAcentral is "bacterial SSU rRNA". It matches the Rfam family "Bacterial small subunit ribosomal RNA", at positions 139 to 891 of the family's 1533-position model. The record is from RNAcentral. Lineage: Bacteria; Pseudomonadati; Pseudomonadota; Alphaproteobacteria; Candidatus Pelagibacterales; Candidatus Pelagibacteraceae.
UGGAAUAACACGAGGAAACUUGUGCUAAUACGGGAUAAGUCUUUACGGAGAAAGCUUUAUGCACCAUUGGAUGAGCCUGCACUUGAUUAGUUUGUUGGUGGGGUAAUGGCCUACCAAGACUGUGAUCAAUAGCUGAUUUGAGAGGAUGAUCAGCCACAUUGGGACUGAGACACGGCCCAAACUCCUACGGGAGGCAGCAGUGGGGAAUCUUGCACAAUGGAGGAAACUCUGAUGCAGCGAUGCCGCGUGAGUGAAGAAGGCCUUUGGGUUGUAAAGCUCUUUCGUCGGGGAAGAAAAUGACUGUACCCGAAUAAGAAGGUCCGGCUAACUUCGUGCCAGCAGCCGCGGUAAUACGAAGGGACCUAGCGUAGUUCGGAAUUACUGGGCUUAAAGAGUUCGUAGGUGGUUGAAAAAGUUGGUGGUGAAAUCCCAGAGCUUAACUCUGGAACUGCCAUCAAAACUUUUCAGCUAGAGUAUGAUAGAGGAAAGCAGAAUUUCUAGUGUAGAGGUGAAAUUCGUAGAUAUUAGAAAGAAUACCAAUUGCGAAGGCAGCUUUCUGGAUCAUUACUGACACUGAGGAACGAAAGCAUGGGUAGCGAAGAGGAUUAGAUACCCUCGUAGUCCAUGCCGUAAACGAUGUGUGUUAGACGUUGGAAAUUUAUUUUCAGUGUCGCAGCGAAAGCGAUAAACACACCGCCUGGGGAGUACGACCGCAA